Molecule: long non-coding RNA, 601 nt
Organism: Gasterosteus aculeatus aculeatus (three-spined stickleback)
Lineage: Eukaryota; Metazoa; Chordata; Actinopteri; Perciformes; Gasterosteidae
Source: Ensembl
GCCUGGUGUCCCCCGACGAACUUUGACCUCUGACCUGGAGCUGGUUGGAGGGCAUUGGGGUCGGGAGGGCCGGAGCAGCCAGGAGGAGGACGAGGAGGAGGGGGGAGGCGAAGGGAAGCAUGGCUGUGCUCGGACCGGUAGAGAGCUGAGGAGCGGAUUGUUUCCAGCAGGCAGGUGGAGGAGGUGACGCUGCAGGUGGAGGAGGUGGAGCUGCAGGUGGAGGAGAUCUCCGUUCGGUGGCUCAGAUCCCACACAGCUUCACAUCUGAUGAACUCAGCCACACCAAUGGGAAUAAAUCAAGAGAGAAGUAGAAUUAUUUUCUCAUAGACUUCUAUUGGAGCAGAGGAGUCGCCCCCCGCUGGUCACUACACAGAAUACACCAACAACACAAAUAUGCAUUAGCUUCACUUGUCAGAACCAGAAAUUUGAGCCUGGACUGUUUUUUUUAUUGCAGGGCAACGGCGUGUUGUGAGGCUGUUUGGCGGUUUGUGAUGUAAUGAUUACACGCCCCUCGUUUAGUAUCGAUGACGCAGCCAGACGAGACUUUCACACAAACAGUGAAAAGAAAAAAGCUGCUCUCUCUCGUAAAAGUUUUUUACGU